UACGUAGGAGACGAGCGUUGUCCGGAGUUACUGGGCGUAAAGGGUGCGCAGGUGGCGGCGCGCGUGGGGGGUGAAAUCGCCCGGCUUAACUGGGCGGGGGCCUUCCAGACGGCGUGGCUUGAGCAGCGGAGGGGGACGUGGAAUUCCGGGUGGAGCGGUGAAAUGCGUAGAGAUCCGGAGGAACACCGACGGCGCAGGCAGCGUUCUGGCCGCUUGCUGACACUGAGGCACGAAAGCUGGGGGAGCAAACAGG
This 253-nucleotide ribosomal RNA is filed under the name uncultured bacterium. Its description in RNAcentral is "partial 16S ribosomal RNA". It matches the Rfam family "Bacterial small subunit ribosomal RNA", at positions 524 to 776 of the family's 1533-position model. The record is from RNAcentral.